CCACGGGUGAGUAACACGUAUCCAACCUGCCGUCUACUCUUGGACAGCCUUCUGAAGGAAGAUUAAUACAAGAUGGCAUCAUGAGUUCACAUGUUCACAUGAUUAAAGGUAUUUCCGGUAGACGAUGGGGAUGCGUUCCAUUAGAUAGUAGGCGGGGUAACGGCCCACCUAGUCUUCGAUGGAUAGGGGUUCUGAGAGGGAGGUCCCCCACAUUGGAACUGAGACACGGUCCAA
RNAcentral lists this ribosomal RNA (234 nucleotides) under uncultured bacterium. RNAcentral's name for it is "partial 16S ribosomal RNA". It matches the Rfam family "Bacterial small subunit ribosomal RNA", at positions 102 to 334 of the family's 1533-position model. The record is from RNAcentral.